This 87-nucleotide microRNA precursor is filed under the name Xyrichtys novacula (pearly razorfish). Lineage: Eukaryota; Metazoa; Chordata; Actinopteri; Labriformes; Labridae. The record is from RNAcentral.
UCCUGAUUAACUCUGCACCAUGCAUUUGGACAUUGCUUUACAUCUUUAAAAUCAAUGUCCAAAUGCAUGGUGCAGAGUUAGUCAGGA